Molecule: ribosomal RNA, 253 nt
Filed under: uncultured bacterium
Lineage: Bacteria
Description: partial 16S ribosomal RNA
Rfam family: Bacterial small subunit ribosomal RNA
Source: RNAcentral
UACGUAGGAGGCAAGCGUUGUCCGGAAUUACUGGGUGUAAAGCGCGUGUAGGCGGCAGGCCAAGUCUGUGGUGAAAUCGCUCGGCUCAACUGGGCGGGGUCCACGGAAACUGGUCAGCUGGAGGACGGUAGAGGUGAGUGGAAUUCCCGGUGUAGUGGUGAAAUGCGUAGAGAUCGGGAGGAACACCCGUGGCGAAGGCGGCUCACUGGGCCGGUCCUGACGCUGAGACGCGAAGGCGUGGGGAGCGAACGGG